AGGACGAACGCUGGCGGCGUGCUUAACACAUGCAAGUCGAGCGGAAAGGCCCUUCGGGGUACUCGAGCGGCGGACGGCUGAGUAACGCGUAGGAACGUACCCUAAAGUGAGGAAUAAUUCCGAGAAAUCGGGACUAAUGCCGCAUAUGCUCCAAGGAGUAAAGCUUCGGCGCUUUGGGAACGGCCUGCGUAUGAUUAGCUUGUUGGUGAGGUAAAGGCUCACCAAGGCGACGAUCAUUAAC
Molecule: ribosomal RNA, 241 nt
Filed under: uncultured bacterium
Lineage: Bacteria
Description: partial small subunit ribosomal RNA
Rfam family: Bacterial small subunit ribosomal RNA
Source: RNAcentral